This 838-nucleotide ribosomal RNA is filed under the name Ramalina canariensis. Its description in RNAcentral is "SSU rRNA". It matches the Rfam family "Bacterial small subunit ribosomal RNA", at positions 375 to 1258 of the family's 1533-position model. Lineage: Eukaryota; Fungi; Ascomycota; Lecanoromycetes; Lecanorales; Ramalinaceae. The record is from RNAcentral.
CCUAACGGCUGAACCAGCAACUUGGAGGAAUGUAUAGCUACGGCUAAUUGUGUAUAACUGCACGAUAUCGACUCUGUCGAAUAAAAUUCUGGGUAAAUUAUGAUGAUGACAUUUUUUACCUAUGUGUCUUGACCAAAUUGUGUGCCAGCAGUCGCGGUAAUACAUAGAAGACUAGUGUUAUUCAUCUUUAAUAGGUUUAAAGGGUACCUAGACGGUAGAUCAAGCCCUAGACGGGACUAAUUUGCUAGAGUUACUUAUGAGGGGGCUUUAAAGUACUAAUGGUGUAGAGAUAAAAUUUUGUAAUACCAUUUUUCGUAAAGAAAAAUUAUGGCACUGGUAAAGGUGAAAGCAUCCCCCUAUGUGAUAACUGACGUUGAAGGACGAAGGCUUUGGGUCGCGAAUAGGAUUAGAUACCCUAGUAGUCAAAGCAGAAAAUUAUGAGUGUCAUAGAUUAGAUAAUACAGUUUAUUCUAUAAAUGAAAGUGUAAGCACUCCACCUCAAGAGUAAUUUGGCAACAUGGGAACUGAAAUCAUUAGACCGUUUCUGAAACCAGUAGUGAAGUAUGUUGUUUAAUUCGAUGAUCCGCGAAAAACCUUACCACAAUUUGAAUAUGUAUAUUUUUGAUAUAUUUACAAGCGUUGCACGGCUGUCUUCAGUUAAUGUCGUGAGACUUUGGUUAGAUCCAUUAAAUUAACGUAAGCCCUUACUUUAUUUUUAUAUAAAGUAGUUCUCCACCAUAUUGGACAAGAUAACAGGGACUAAGACAAGUCAUCAUGGCCUGAAUAUUGUGGGCUAUAGACGUGCCACAUAAACCUUUACAAAGGGAUGUGAAAUUGC